RNAcentral lists this ribosomal RNA (301 nucleotides) under uncultured bacterium. RNAcentral's name for it is "partial 16S ribosomal RNA". It matches the Rfam family "Bacterial small subunit ribosomal RNA", at positions 509 to 807 of the family's 1533-position model. The record is from RNAcentral.
CAGUAGCCGCGGUAAUACGAAGGGUGCAAGCGUUAAUCGGAAUUACUGGGCGUAAAGCGCGCGUAGGUGGUUUGGUAAGAUGGAUGUGAAAUCCCCGGGCUCAACCUGGGAACUGCAUCCAUAACUGCCUGACUAGAGUACGGUAGAGGGUGGUGGAAUUUCCUGUGUAGCGGUGAAAUGCGUAGAUAUAGGAAGGAACACCAGUGGCGAAGGCGACCACCUGGACUGAUACUGACACUGAGGUGCGAAAGCGUGGGGAGCAAACAGGAUUAGAUACCCCCGUAGUCCCUGUCUCUUAUAC